This 253-nucleotide ribosomal RNA is filed under the name uncultured bacterium. RNAcentral's name for it is "partial 16S ribosomal RNA". It matches the Rfam family "Bacterial small subunit ribosomal RNA", at positions 524 to 776 of the family's 1533-position model. The record is from RNAcentral.
UACGAGGGGGGCAAAUGUUGUUCGGAAUCACUGGGCGUAAAGGGAGCGUAGGCGGGUUCUUAAGUUAGGUGUUUAAUCCCGGGGCCCAACCCCGGACAGGCACUUGAAACUGGGAAUCUUGAAUAGUGGAGAGGUCAGUGGAAUUGGGGGUGUAGCGGUGGAAUGCGUAGAGAUCCCCAAGAACACCAGUUGCGAAGGCGGCUGACUGGACACAUAUUGACGCUGAGGCUCGAAAGCAUGGGGAGCAAACAGG